AAUGAACGUUGGCGGCGUGGAUUAGGCAUGCAAGUCGAGCGUGUACCCGCAAGGGGAAAGCGGCAAACGGGGUAGGAACGCGUAGGUCACGUACCCCUCGGCCGGGGAAAGCCACGGGAAACUGUGGGUAAUACCCGAUGACGCCGAGAGGCCAAAGGUGUGAUUCCGCCGGGGGAGCGGCCUGCGUAGUAUUAGCUAGUUGGUGAGGUAACGGCUCACCAAGGCGAAGAUGCUUAGGGGGUGUGAGAGCAUGACCCCCACCACUGGGACUGAGAUACUGCCCAGACACCUACGGGUGGCUGCAGUCGAGAAUCUUCGGCAAUGGGGGCAACCCUGACCGAGCGACGCCGCGUGUGGGAUGAAGGCCCUUGGGUUGUAAACCACUGUCAGAGGGGAUGAAACGAUCAUGGGUUCUCCCAUGGUCCUGACAUAGCCUCAGAGGAAGCACGGGCUAAGUUCGUGCCAGCAGCCGCGGUAAUACGAACUGUGCAAACGUUAUUCGGAAUCACUGGGCGUUAAA
RNAcentral lists this ribosomal RNA (520 nucleotides) under uncultured bacterium. RNAcentral's name for it is "bacterial SSU rRNA". It matches the Rfam family "Bacterial small subunit ribosomal RNA", at positions 28 to 565 of the family's 1533-position model. The record is from RNAcentral.